Molecule: ribosomal RNA, 461 nt
Filed under: uncultured beta proteobacterium
Lineage: Bacteria; Pseudomonadati; Pseudomonadota; Betaproteobacteria
Description: bacterial SSU rRNA
Rfam family: Bacterial small subunit ribosomal RNA
Source: RNAcentral
AGGAAAGCAGGGGAUCGCAAGACCUUGCGCUUUUGGAGCGGCCGAUGUCUGAUUAGCUAGUUGGUGAGGUAAAGGCUUACCAAGGCGUCGAUCAGUAGCUGGUCUGAGAGGACGACCAGCCACACUGGGACUGAGACACGGCCCAGACUCCUACGGGAGGCAGCAGUGGGGAAUUUUGGACAAUGGGGGAAACCCUGAUCCAGCCGUGCCGCGUGAGUGAAGAAGGCCUUCGGGUUGUAAAGCUCUUUCAGCCGGAACGAAACGGUCACAGCUAAUACCUGUGACUACUGACGGUACCGGAAGAAGAAGCACCGGCUAACUACGUGCCAGCAGCCGCGGUAAUACGUAGGGUGCGAGCGUUAAUCGGAAUUACUGGGCGUAAAGCGUGCGCAGGCGGUUUUGUAAGUCAGAUGUGAAAUCCCCGGGCUUAACCUGGGAACUGCGUUUGAAACUACAAAGCU